AGGAAAAAAGGGCUCUGCCGAGGAAGCUACACUUGUCCUGAGCACUCAUAUGGAUUCAGAAAGAAACAUACCCAAUAUUUUCGCCUAUAUUUUACUCAGUCUUUCCACUCGCAAAAUCCGCACAUUAUCAUACACUACCACUUCAGAUCACUCUUUGCUAUUUGCCUUCUCUCUCUCCUUCCAACACAGGAAAUCAUCUCUUCUCUUAACAGUAAUUGAUCCAUCAAACAACAAACACCACAUUUCUUGCCAUUCUUGAAAUACAUUCACUUUGAUGCAUUGAGAAUGACCCUUAAGAGUGGCACGGGCCAGGCCUGCGCUGCAUGCAAGUACCAGAGGAGGCGGUGCACCCCCGAAUGCCUCCUCGCCCCCUUCUUCCCGGCCGACCAACCCAAGAUGUUUCUGAACGUGCACAGACUGUUCGGGGUGAAACAUAUCCAGAACUUACUCAAGGAGCUUGACCCCGAUCAGAAACCCAUGGCCAUGAAGUCUAUCAAGUUUCAUGCCGCUAUGCGUGAUAAGUAUCCUGUCUACGGAUGCUUGGUUGAAAUACAACAACUCACUUACCAAAUUCAGCUUGCUGAGGAGGAACUUCAAGCUGUUCUGCAACAGUUAGCUUAUUAUCGGCAGCAACAGCAUCAACAACAAGACAUGUCACCUACAGAUGAUUACCUCUCACAGUUACAACUCGGCAUGGCACCUCCAGGAAAUGCCGGCAUGCCAGUUGUCCAUCAAGAUAAUCCUCCACAACAGUACAACGUUGUGACAGCAGUCCCAGUUGCACCACAUGCCUCGUAUUCCAACAAUGCCAAUGCUAAUUAUAAUACUAACUUGGACUCUAAGGAGAACAAUGAUGUCGACUCUUUGUGGUUUCAACAAGCAUAUAGUUAUAAUAGCAAUAAUACUAAUCCCAAUUCAAUGGUCAUACAAUCACAAUUGGCUACUUCAGAACCUAUGCCUAUCCCACAAGAAGCACCUCAAGAUUACAAUGAGAUGCACCCGUUUUUCGACAACAUUGAUGACAGACAAUCCUAUAUCGGCUCCAAGGAACCGUAUGAAUCCAGUUUGGAAUCACCGCUGAAAGAUUCUAGGCAGACUGUCGAGCAAAUAGCUGAGAAUGAACUGAAGAGUGCUGCAGCAUGCUUCAGCCUUACCAGUGUCAACUAAUAAAUAUCAAAUCGGAGUACGUUCUAGCAGAGUUGCAUGGCCAACUGAGAUCCAAUUUUGUUUUCUAUUUCAUAGAAACUUCAUAGAAUGUUGAAGGCUAUGCUAGAUAGCAACAACUAACGGGAAAAAGACUAGCAGCAGCUGGAGAUAAUGUUUCCAGCUCAUGCACAAAGCUAAAUAGAACAGCAGAGGAUGACUAGACAGUUAUGGCAGGUCCUUCUACUUGUAAGCAGUAUUUCAAAAGAAAGUCAUCAGAGGCGCCCCCGAGCAGCAUCCUUAGGUGGGGCACUUAAAAAUUGCCUCAAGGUAAUUGUGGUGUGGGGAGGGAGGGGGGGGGUUAUUUGUCGUACGGGGCAUAUGCCCAAGUUCGAGGCAGGUGGCCUGGCGGUUGAGGUGUAUGCAUUUUGUGCCACAGGCCAAUGGGUGUGUACCCCAAAGAAAUUUGAAUAAAUCCCAAUUUCCAAAGGUAUAAUCAUCUAAAGUAGUGAUAAUCAACUAUUAAAUAAUCCAUAUUUACCAAAGCAUUAUAAAAACAUCAAAAAGCUUUAGAAGAAAAAGAAUACCUUCAGAAAUCUUGCUUUUAUUCCUCUUCAAUUUUUUUAACUUUUUCCCUGUAACUAUUCUAAAGCUUCCUAUUGAUUUUUAAGAAUUGUCCUCUGCUAGGCUAGCUAUGUGAGUCUGUUGAGCAAUUAAAAUGAUAAUAGAUUUCUAUGAUUACAUAUAUGCAUCCUAUACAUACAUAGAGUUUUUUUUCAGUAAAUACAUGCAUAGAGUUUCAUUCCAUGCUUUGAUGGAGUUAUUGUGUAGAGCUUUGUGUAUGCUUGCACAUUUAGAGUAGUGCCUGGCGUGUCACCUAGCUUUGGACUCUUUAAUACCCUUCUCAUAGACAUUCUUAUUUGAAUUCAUAUCAAUAAAAGACAAUUCUUCAUCCAUGUUUUUGCUUAUUAGUCUUAAAUAUGAUGAAGUUCCUAAGUCAUACAUCGCCGCGGCAUCAUGCAUAUCAUAGUGAUCAUGAAACGCAUGAAACAUGAGUUUAUGAUCUUGAUUUGAAAUGUUCCAAAGUCAAUGUUAUUCCCUCCCACAACUCAUGAGACACAGGGAAAUAGCGAUUAAUUUCCUUAUUUAUAGUAGAACUUUUCAUUUCUUUUAUCUUAUUCCACUAACCGUGAGAUAAUGAAAAUAAAAGGUGAUAACAUUUCCUCUAAAAGUUUGCAUCGCUUUAUUCAUAUCAUGAUAUGACCUAGACCAAUGUGAUUGGAUGAAAGUUAUUUAGUAUGUGAUUGGCUUUUAUUUAUUUAUAGAUUGUAACUAAAAUGAGGCCGUCGUGUCUCACCUUCUCUAUCCCUCCUGUAUAACUUCCCUUAGAUUCAACCCAAGGUUUCUAAUAUUUAUGAAAAAUCUCUAAUUUGUCUUGUUGCAUUUCCCUCUUAAAACAUAUUCUUACUUAUGUCAAUAUGUGAUAUUAAAUACGACCUUUUAAUUCUCUAUUACAGCAAUAGCUAUCGAUUUACUUUCCUCCUUAAUUUUAUGGGAUAAUAUUUUCUUCUUAAUGUGCUGGCUUAAUCCUUAAGUUCUUAAUAUUAAUUUUAAAUUUUUAACUAUAUUAAAUACGAAAACUAACAAGGAAAACGCUCUGCAGAAAUAUAUGAAGGCAUCAGCCAACAUCACCUUACACCUUUUAAUGCUGCUUCUAAGUUGAGAUGCCUGAUCAAAUUCUAUAUUGAACUAAGUUAAAUACUUGGGAACUCGUUAAAGAGUAAUCAAUUUGGACUUUACCAUCAAACAGUUGAAAUAAAUUUCACCAAUAUUAUAGCUGAGGACAUGCUUGGAAACUAUACGUUCUUGAUCGGAUAGAACAUGCAGUUACCACUCAUUCCACUUAGCUGAAUCUCAUAACAUUUCAUUCUCACCAAACCUUUUAGCAAUUGAUUUAGUUUAUUUACUUCAGACAGAUGUUUUAAAUUUUUUUCUGGACCCCUGUUUCAUUCGCUUGCUACUAAGGUGUGGUUACAAGUUCCUAAGAGAAUAGCUGCAUUCAUACAGUUCAUGUUUAUUUAUCAACUAUGAAACUGGAAAAGGUAUAUAUUGAUUGACGUUGUGUAUCACAUUACAUAUAGAAAAUAAGCUGCUGACCAUAUUUGAUAAGAUAGUUAAUUAUGUUUUAAUAUAUUUUCUUGGAUCAGACACUUCGAAAGUUUUUAAAAUGAGAUAGGAUAAGCUUGUAUUCUGUAAAGCCUCUUUAUCAGAUUGUGUAAUGAGCAGAGUUGAGGUUCAUUAACUAUAUUUUUAGCAACAUUAAAUGGUCAACUGUUAACAUAUGCGUUUGCAGUCACAAAAAUAUGUAAUCGGGCUUUUCCUUGCACCAAGAUCAAUAUGAGCUGUUCACAAAAGAAACAU
Sesamum indicum (sesame) is the source of this 3564-nucleotide non-coding RNA. The record is from RefSeq and is a predicted model, not a curated record. Lineage: Eukaryota; Viridiplantae; Streptophyta; Magnoliopsida; Lamiales; Pedaliaceae.